This 593-nucleotide ribosomal RNA is filed under the name uncultured bacterium. Its description in RNAcentral is "bacterial SSU rRNA". It matches the Rfam family "Bacterial small subunit ribosomal RNA", at positions 338 to 956 of the family's 1533-position model. The record is from RNAcentral.
CCUACGGGAGGCAGCAGUGGGGAAUAUUGGACAAUGGGCGAAAGCCUGAUCCAGCAAUGCCGCGUGAGUGAUGAAGGCCUUAGGGUUGUAAAGCUCUUUUACCAGGGAUGAUAAUGACAGUACCUGGAGAAUAAGCUCCGGCUAACUCCGUGCCAGCAGCCGCGGUAAUACGGAGGGAGCUAGCGUUGUUCGGAAUUACUGGGCGUAAAGCGUACGUAGGCGGUUAUUCAAGUCAGAGGUGAAAGCCUGGAGCUCAACUCCAGAACUGCCUUUGAAACUAGAUAGCUAGAAUCUUGGAGAGGUGAGUGGAAUUCCGAGUGUAGAGGUGAAAUUCGUAGAUAUUCGGAAGAACACCAGUGGCGAAGGCGACUCACUGGACAAGUAUUGACGCUGAGGUACGAAAGCGUGGGGAGCAAACAGGAUUAGAUACCCUGGUAGUCCACGCCGUAAACGAUGAUAACUAGCUGUUCGGGCUCUACGAGCUUGAGUGGCGCAGCUAACGCAUUAAGUUAUCCGCCUGGGGAGUCGGUCGCAAGAUUAAAACUCAAAGGAAUUGACGGCUUGAGAGNGCGAGGACGACGACGAGGGAGAGG